This 74-nucleotide transfer RNA is filed under the name Cordylochernes scorpioides. RNAcentral describes it as "tRNA-Glu". Lineage: Eukaryota; Metazoa; Arthropoda; Arachnida; Pseudoscorpiones; Chernetidae. The record is from RNAcentral.
UGUCCAAUGCGGGAAUCGAACCCGGGUCCUACUGGUCGAAAACCAAACGGUUUAACCAGCCUUCCACCAUAAUC